UUAAAGAGUGCGUAACAGCUCACUAGUCGAGCGAUUCUGCAUGGAUAAUAAUCGGGCAUAAACAUACUACCGAAGCUAUGGACUUGAAAAAGUGGUAGGGGAGCAUUGUAGUGGCGUUGAAGGUGUACUGCGAGGUAUGCUGGAGCAGCUACAAAAGAAAAUGUAGGCAUAAGUAACGAUAAUGCGGGCGAGAAACCCGCACUCCGAAAGACUAAGGUUUCCUCAGCUAUGCUAAUCAGCUGAGGGUUAGUCGGGACCUAACGCGAACCCGAAAGGGGUAGUGGAUGGACAACAGGUUAAUAUUCCUGUACCUGCUCAUACUAAAAGUGACGGAGGCGAAUAGUUAGUGCGUGCUGACGGAAUAGCACGUUGAAGCCAGUGGUAACACGGCGAUAGUACACUAAGGCUACGGCUGCGGUGAUAAUCUAGCGAAUCGACUUCCAAGAAAAGCGAAUGAAGCAGCCCGUACCCUAAACCGACACAGGUAGUUGGGAUGAGAAUUCUAAGGAGCUCGAGAGAUUCAUGGCUAAGGAACUAGGCAAAAUCGACCCGUAACUUCGGGAGAAGGGUCGCCAGCGUAAGCUGGCCGCAGUGAAAAGGUCCAGGCGACUGUUUAUCAAAAACACAGGGCUAUGCUAAAUCGAAAGAUGACGUAUAUGGCCUGACACCUGCCCGGUGCUGGAAGGUUAAGUGGUGGGCUUAGAGGUUUACCUCGAAGGUCUAAAAUGAAGCCCCAGUAAACGGCGGCCGUAACUCUGACGGUCCAAAGGUAGCGAAAUUCUUUGCCACCUAAUUAGUGGCCUGCAUGAAUCGCGUAAUGACUUCUUUACUGUCUCUUACACAGACUCAGUGAAAUUGAAAUAUCCGUGAAGAUGCGGAUUACUCACAGCUAGACGGAAAGACCCUGUACACCUUUACUGCAUUUAUUGAUUG
Molecule: ribosomal RNA, 933 nt
Filed under: Pelagomonas calceolata
Lineage: Eukaryota; Pelagophyceae; Pelagomonadales; Pelagomonadaceae
Description: partial Bacterial large subunit ribosomal RNA
Rfam family: Bacterial large subunit ribosomal RNA
Source: RNAcentral